UGAGGGAUAUUGCACAAUGGGGGAAACCCUGAUGCAGCGACGCCGCGUGGGCGAUGAAGGUCUUCGGAUUGUAAAGCCCUUUUCUGUGUGACGAGCAAGGACGGUAGCACAGGAAUAAGUCUCGGCUAACUACGUGCCAGCAGCCGCGGUAAAACGUAGGAGGCAAGCGUUAUCCGGAGUUACUGGGCGUAAAGGGCGCGCAGGCGGUUGGGUAAGUGGAUGGUGAAAGACCCGUGCUAAACGCGGGGGACGCCGUUCAGACUGCUCGGCUAGAGCCAUCUAGAGGGACGUGGAAUUCGGGGUGUAGCGGUGAAAUGUGUAGAGAUCCCGAGGAACACCAGCGGUGAAGACGGCGUCCUGGGGGUGAGCUGACGCUGAGGCGCGAAGGCGUGGGGAGCCA
This 400-nucleotide ribosomal RNA is filed under the name uncultured bacterium. RNAcentral describes it as "bacterial SSU rRNA". It matches the Rfam family "Bacterial small subunit ribosomal RNA", at positions 355 to 771 of the family's 1533-position model. The record is from RNAcentral.